RNAcentral lists this ribosomal RNA (506 nucleotides) under uncultured bacterium. RNAcentral describes it as "partial 16S ribosomal RNA". It matches the Rfam family "Bacterial small subunit ribosomal RNA", at positions 29 to 523 of the family's 1533-position model. The record is from RNAcentral.
AUUGAACGCUGGCGGCAGGCCUAACACAUGCAAGUCGGACGGUAGCACAGGGGAGCUUGCUCCUCGGGUGACGAGUGGCAGACGGGUGAGUAAUGUCUGGGGAUCUGCCCGAUAGAGGGGGAUAACCACUGGAAACGGUGGCUAAUACCGCAUAAUGUCGCAAGACCAAGGAGGGGGACCUUCGGGCCUCUCACUAUCGGAUGAACCCAGAUGGGAUUAGCUAGUAGGCGGGGUAACGGCCCACCUAGGCGACGAUCCCUAGCUGGUCUGAGAGGAUGACCAGCCACACUGGAACUGAGACACGGUCCAGACUCCUACGGGAGGCAGCAGUGGGGAAUAUUGCGCAAUGGGCGCAAGCCUGAUGCAGCCAUGCCGCGUGUAUGAAGAAGGCCUUCGGGUUGUAAAGUACUUUCAGCGGGGAGGAAGGCGAUGUGGUUAAUAACCGCGUCGAUUGACGUUACCCGCAGAAGAAGCACCGGCUAACUCCGUGCCAGCCGCCGCGGUAA